Molecule: long non-coding RNA, 730 nt
Organism: Panthera uncia (snow leopard)
Lineage: Eukaryota; Metazoa; Chordata; Mammalia; Carnivora; Felidae
Exons: 4
Source: RefSeq, a predicted model, not a curated record
GUUGCUGUCGGGGUCGCGUCCGGGAGGGCCGGGUGCGGUUGUGGCGUAGAGCAAGGCUGAUCUCGGGCCACCCGCGGGGCGGGCGACGAUAUCGUCCUAGUGGGCAGGCUGGCUGGCGUGUCGGGUUUCGGGGAGUAUGGCGGGGAACCGGAGUAGAGGGAUGUGAGCGUUUGAAAGCAGAAUGCCUUUGCUUCCAUGAUCUGAUCAGAGAUUAUGAAGAUACAGUUCCUCCCUUUGGUUUGCAUACAGUUAAGUGGAGCAGACACAGGUCAAUGGUCAGUGUGCCACUUAAGUAUUCAAGAAGAGGAGACUUGCUGACGGAGAAGGUGCUGACUGGCCGGAAUCUUCUUCGCAAAUCCUGAACUCUCAUCUUGCAUUUAGAUUCCUUAACCAUGGAUUGCAGUGAAGCACGUAUAUAUCAGCAGGUUGCAGCUGAACAUGGCCUUGAGGUAAAUCCUGCCCCCGUUGAAAUUUGGUUUCAGCAGAUUAUUCAUGGUAAUUUAGGAACUGGAAUAUUUUACAGAAAAAAAAAUAUUUCGUUUGGUUCUGUUCUAGACUUAUUUUUUCUUCUCCUAGAAGAACCAUGUUUAAACAAAACUUCACUAUGCUGAAGAACUGUGAUGCUUUAAGUUGGUCAUCUGCCUCAUUUUAAAGUAAGUGAAUUUUAUAUGUCAACACAAAUUCUAGAUGUUUUUUUUCUUGAUCAAUAAAACUUUUUACUCAAACCUUA